UACAGAGGUCCCAAGCGUUGUUCGGAUUCAUUGGGCGUAAAGGGUGCGUAGGUGGCGCUGUAAGUCGGGUGUGAAAUUUCGGAGCUUAACUCCGAAACUGCAUUCGAUACUGCGGUGCUUGAGGACUGGAGAGGAGACUGGAAUUCAUGGUGUAGCAGUGAAAUGCGUAGAGAUCAUGAGGAAGACCAGUGGCGAAGGCGGGUCUCUGGACAACACCUGACACUGAGGCACGAAAGCUAGGGGAGCAAACAGG
This 253-nucleotide ribosomal RNA is filed under the name uncultured bacterium. RNAcentral's name for it is "partial 16S ribosomal RNA". It matches the Rfam family "Bacterial small subunit ribosomal RNA", at positions 524 to 776 of the family's 1533-position model. The record is from RNAcentral.